UACGGAGGAUGCGAGCGUUAUCCGGAUUUAUUGGGUUUAAAGGGUGCGUAGGCGGGAUGCCAAGUCAGCGGUAAAAAUGCGGUGCUCAACGCCGUCGAGCCGUUGAAACUGGCGUUCUUGAGUGGGCGAGAAGUAUGCGGAAUGCGUGGUGUAGCGGUGAAAUGCAUAGAUAACACGCAGAACUCCGAUUGCGAAGGCAGCAUACCGGCGCCCUACUGACGCUGAGGCACGAAAGCGUGGGUAUCGAACAGG
Molecule: ribosomal RNA, 252 nt
Filed under: uncultured bacterium
Lineage: Bacteria
Description: partial 16S ribosomal RNA
Rfam family: Bacterial small subunit ribosomal RNA
Source: RNAcentral